CCCGUGUUUACGCUUGUGUGCGCGCACGUUCUUUACCAGCGUAAACCGCAGCUUGGACAGGGACAAUGAGGAUAUGUACGGAGCAUGUCCUUCUGGAGCUUCACAGGUCGCACAAGUCUUCAUAUUUUCUUUCCACAGCCACUGUUUCAUUUUAACUGCGCCCCGCGUGCCCACAGCGCGAGCCUUUCACGCGCCGCAACUCAUCCAGAGGCGCGCAAUGAAAACACGAGCCUGGCCGCUUUAUAGCCCUCCGGAGACCGAUGAGCUCGACCUGACCCUCUUAAAUACGAGAGAAGUGUGGUUCAGGUCUGGGUUUUACCUCCCCGAGGGGGGUUGACAUGGAGGAAAGAGACAGCAGUGUGUGACCGCCAGCCCUCACUUCGCAUGGACUUCACGGACCCACACAGCACUGCGCACGGAGAGGAGGACAAAGAGAGAGAGAGAAGGCCGAGCACCGGAAAACCCCUCACGUUGGCUAUUUCCCCACGUUCUGGUCAAAUAAAAUCCACCCGUCUGGGAACUCACCUCUAUCCUCGUGUCGUGUGCUUCUUCAAUGCGGGCAUAGCAGUGAAGAAGCUACCGACCAGGAUACCCCCACAUUCCUUAUCACCCCACUUGGAUUUCGACGGACGUUUUUUUGGGGGUUUUUUUUGGGCUCACGUUUCCCUCCUGUUUCCACAGGUGGCACUCCUCCCCCGAAGAAGGAAGACCUGCUCAAGCACCUCACCGAAGUGAGCAUCCCCCAGCAGCAGAUCAUGGAGCACAUGGCCUCCCGACAAGGGGAAACGGAACGCGAGCUCGCCGCACUCCGCAUGACCGCUGCCCUGCGAACUCCGCUACCUGACCCC
Long non-coding RNA from Cyprinus carpio carpio, 848 nucleotides. Lineage: Eukaryota; Metazoa; Chordata; Actinopteri; Cypriniformes; Cyprinidae. The record is from Ensembl.